Long non-coding RNA from Lotus japonicus, 1871 nucleotides. RefSeq lists it as uncharacterized. The record is from RefSeq and is a predicted model, not a curated record. Lineage: Eukaryota; Viridiplantae; Streptophyta; Magnoliopsida; Fabales; Fabaceae. The transcript has 3 exons.
CAUAGGAUUCUGGUGAUUCAACGGUUCCACAAGAGAUUAUGAAUCUGAUUGGCCAGACCUUUUUAUUUAAUAUUGAAGUCAACAACAGCUCUAAUUCAAAGUUUGAACCUUCGUAUCGUGUUAAGAAAAUGUGUACUGAACUGGAUGUUAUUUCUCAGUUCAAGACUUCCAUUCCCUCUAUUGAAGGAGGCACUAUGUUGCUUCUUAUGGGCACCCCAACAUCCGUAUUGAAAGAAGAAUCUUCUUAUUCGAGUUUGGUUAAGGUAAAUUUUAAAUGCCAUCCUUAAUUAUUCAAUGAUUGCACUAUUUUCUCUGUUGUUGGUAUUGGUAGCUGCAAAUUUUUUUAAUAUCAGGAUCUGAAUGUUGAGUUCGUUGGAAUACAAAAUCUCCUGUUAUGGACAUGAGUAAGGACACACAGAGUUUCCCUGCACUGCCUGCAGCCUCUUCCUUAGGGAUGGAAAUUUAGCCCAAACACGACCUGAUUUAACGGGUAAAACCCGAGUUGACUGGGUAUGGGUUCUGGUAAAACCCGAUUUCAAAAAGUAGUAUUUGGGUUCGGGUGUGGGAUGUUCACUACCCAUGCCCGAACCCUACCUGAACACAUAAAUUUACUAAAUUUCCUCCUGUAUAUAUAAUAGUAGAGUUAGGGUUAAUCUUCAUGCUUUGUCACUCUUUUUACCCUGUGUCCCUGACGGCUGCAUCAUCUUUCCUCACCCUUUGCUCCCUUCUCACCCUCUUCGCCCUCAACUUCUUCUCCAUUCCUAGCUCCUCCUCCCGCGACAAGUUCCCCAAACCCAACGAUCUCACCUCCAUUGCUCAUAACACGCUCAACACAACCGAUGAUGAUGAUGGAAGGGGAGAGAAGUAGGUUGAAGUGAUCUCAGUGGUUGUUUCUUUUUCUGGAAAAAUGGAUCAAGUGAACAUAACAAGUGUGGAAGUGUGUAGUUCUGAACAAGCUAGUACUUGUCAACCAACUACGAAAGGAGCUUCUAAUCCUACACCUGAAGCUCUCGCAGUUAAUGAAUCAUCUCAGGUUGAUCCUCAAGCUGAUGCAGAUUCAGUAGAACCUAAAACAAAGAGGCUUAGAAGUGAUGUAUGGCCGCAUUUUAAUAGAAUUGAAGUGAAUGGGACCCUCAAGGCAUAAUGCAUUUAUUGCAAAAAAAAAAAGCUUAGUGGCAAUUCGAAGAAUGGAACCAACCACUUGCGCAAUCAUGUGGCAAAAUGUGUCUAAAUGAAGAUACAGACAAGAGGCCAUGACAAAGGGCAAGCAUUUCUCAUGCCUAAAGCUUCACAAGGUAAGCAAGAGUUGGGAGCGGGAGCUUAUGAUGCGGAUAAUUCAAAAAGUCAGCUUGCCUGUGCAAUUAUUUUGCAUGAUUAUCCACUAUCGAUAGUGGAUCAUAUCGGAUUUCAGAGAUACUCCAAUUCUCUCCAACCAUUGUUUCAAGUUCCAACUCGAAACACUAUCAAGAAGGAGGUCAUUAAAAUCUAUGAAUUUCAAAAAACAUGUGUUAUGAAGAUGCUAGACAGUCAUGAAGGAAGAGUGGCCAUAACCUCAGAUAUGUGGACUUCCAACAAUCAAAAGAGGGGAUAUACGACGGUCACAACCCACUGUAUUGAUUCCACCUGGACUUUACAAAGUCGAGUAUUAGGGUAAUGAGCUUUGCAAUUUUAUAACUUUCUUAAUUAUUUUGUGUGUUUUUAAGACAAAAUGAUUAAAAGAAAAUAUUGCAAAUUUGUUAUUUUAGGUUUAUUUACGUUCCUGCCCCGCACACUAGUGAUAGACUUUGUGAAGCACUUGUUUACUGUCGUAUGGAUUGGAACAUUGACUCCAAAAUAUCUACAAUCACUCUAGAUAACUGCAACACUAAUGA